This 440-nucleotide ribosomal RNA is filed under the name uncultured bacterium. Its description in RNAcentral is "partial 16S ribosomal RNA". It matches the Rfam family "Bacterial small subunit ribosomal RNA", at positions 338 to 795 of the family's 1533-position model. The record is from RNAcentral.
CCUACGGGAGGCAGCAGUGGGGAAUAUUGCACAAUGGGGGAAACCCUGAAGCAGCGACACCGCGUGAGUGAAGAAGUUAUUCGUUAUGUAAAGCUCCAUCAGCAGGGAAGAAAAUGACGGUACCUGAGUAAGAAGCCCCGGCUAACUACGUGCCAGCAGCCGCAGUACUACGUAAGGGGCAAGCGUUAUCCGGAUUUACUGGGUGUAAUGGGAGCGUAGUCGGGAGUGCAAGUCUGGAGGGAAAGGCGGGGGCUCAACCCCCGGACUGCUCUGGAAACUGUACGGCUGGAGUGCAGGAGAGGUAAGUGGAAUUCGUAGUGUAGCGGUGAAAUGCUUAGAUAUUAGGAGGAACACCAGUGGCGAAGGCAGCUUACUGGACUGUAACUGACGUUGAGGCACGAAAGCGUGGGGAGCGAACAGGAUUAGAUACCCGUGUAGUC